This 253-nucleotide ribosomal RNA is filed under the name uncultured bacterium. Its description in RNAcentral is "partial 16S ribosomal RNA". It matches the Rfam family "Bacterial small subunit ribosomal RNA", at positions 524 to 776 of the family's 1533-position model. The record is from RNAcentral.
UACAGAGGGUGCAAGCGUUGUUCGGAAUUAUUGGGCGUAAAGCGCGUGUAGGCGGCUUUGCAAGUCGGGUGUGAAAGCCCUCAGCUCAACUGAGGAAGUGCGCCCGAAACUGCAGAGCUUGAGUACCGGAGAGGGUGGCGGAAUUCCCCAAGUAGAGGUGAAAUUCGUAGAUAUCGGGAGGAACACCGGUGGCGAAGGCGGCGACCUGGGUAGAUACUGACGCUGAGGUGCGAAAGCGUGGGGAGCAAACAGG